RNAcentral lists this ribosomal RNA (377 nucleotides) under uncultured bacterium. RNAcentral describes it as "bacterial SSU rRNA". It matches the Rfam family "Bacterial small subunit ribosomal RNA", at positions 523 to 898 of the family's 1533-position model. The record is from RNAcentral.
AUACGUAGGGUCCGAGCGUUGUCCGGAAUUAUUGGGCGUAAAGAGCUCGUAGGCGGCCUGUCGCGUCUGCUGUGAAAGUCCGGGGCUUAACUCCGGGUGUGCAGUGGAUACGGGCAGGCUUGAGGUAGGUAGGGGAGACUGGAAUUCCUGGUGUAGCGGUGAAAUGCGCAGAUAUCAGGAGGAACACCGGUGGCGAAGGCGGGUCUCUGGGCCUUACCUGACGCUGAGGAGCGAAAGCGUGGGGAGCGAACAGGAUUAGAUACCCUGGUAGUCCACGCCGUAAACGUUGGGCGCUAGGUGUGGGGACUUUCCACGGUUUCCGUGCCGUAGCUAACGCAUUAAGCGCCCCGCCUGGGGAGUACGGCCGCAAGGCUAAA